Molecule: non-coding RNA, 74 nt
Organism: Episyrphus balteatus (marmalade hoverfly)
Lineage: Eukaryota; Metazoa; Arthropoda; Insecta; Diptera; Syrphidae
Source: the annotation of a RefSeq genome assembly
GGCCCAUUAGCUCAGUUGGUUAGAGCGUCGUGCUAAUAACGCGAAGGCCGUGGGUUCGAUCCCCCCAUUGGCCA